UGGCGGACGGGUGAGUAACGCGUGGGUAACCUGCCUCAUACAGGGGGAUAACAGUUAGAAAUGGCUGCUAAUACCGCAUAAGACCACAGUACUGCAUGGUACAGUGGUAAAAACUCCGGUGGUAUGAGAUGGACCCGCGUCUGAUUAGGUAGUUGGUGAGGUAACGGCCCACCAAGCCGACGAUCAGUAGCCGACCUGAGAGGGCGACCGGCCACAUUGGGACUGAGACACGGCCCAAACUCCUACGGGAGGCAGCAUG
This 259-nucleotide ribosomal RNA is filed under the name uncultured bacterium. RNAcentral's name for it is "partial 16S ribosomal RNA". It matches the Rfam family "Bacterial small subunit ribosomal RNA", at positions 96 to 353 of the family's 1533-position model. The record is from RNAcentral.